GAUUAUAGCUCACUGGUAAAGCAGUUGCCUAGCAUGCAUCAGGCCUUGGGUUCAAUCCUCAGUACCAUCA
RNAcentral lists this transfer RNA (70 nucleotides) under Mus musculus (house mouse). It matches the Rfam family "tRNA". From Rfam's summary of the family: Transfer RNA (tRNA) molecules are approximately 80 nucleotides in length. Their secondary structure includes four short double-helical elements and three loops (D, anti-codon, and T loops). The record is from Rfam by way of RNAcentral. RNAcentral also lists the same sequence under 1 other name. Lineage: Eukaryota; Metazoa; Chordata; Mammalia; Rodentia; Muridae.